CGUCAAAGCCUUAUUGGGGUAAUGAAUAGGUCCCCAGAGCAAACUAAAACCCUUCCCCAGUACUGAGUAAUUCCAUAUGUUUAUGGAAAAUAUUAUGUUAAAACUAGUAACACGAAAUUAAACCCUCUCUUAAAUGUACGUCUAAGUCAGAAUGGAGUAUACACUGACAACUAACAGCUUAGACUAAAGUAGUAAAAUAUUCAAGAAAACUCAACUUAUUUAUCUGUUAAUCUAACACAAGAACAUUAAAAGAAAGACUUAAAGAGAAAGAAGGAACUCGGCAAAACUGAUUCCGCCUGUUUACCAAAAACAUCGCCUCUUGAAUCUUAACUAUAAGAGGUCCAGCCUGCCCAGUGACUCUGUUUAACGGCCGCGGUAACCUAACCGUGCGAAGGUAGCGUAAUCACCUGUUUUUUAAUUAAAGACCUGUAUGAAAGGCAUCACGAGAAUCACACUGUCUCCUUUCUCAAGUCAGUGAAACUAAUCUCCUCGUGAAAAAGCGAGGAUAACAUUACAAGACGAGAAGACCCUUUGGAGCUUAAGACAAAAUAGAUACUUGCCUUAUUUUAACCCCCCAUCACACAGCAUACUACCUAUAAGUCUUGGGUUGGGGCAAUCACGGAGUAAAAACAAACCUCCGAGCUGAAUGGAAAUUUCCUAAACAAAAAGCAACAACUUUAUGUAUCAACAAACUGACACAAUUUGACCCAAUACAUUUGAUUAACGAACCAAGUUACCCCAGGGAUAACAGCGCAAUCCACUUAAAGAGUUCAUAUCGAAAAGUGGGCUUACGACCUCG
This 799-nucleotide ribosomal RNA is filed under the name Eleutherodactylus casparii. RNAcentral's name for it is "partial 16S ribosomal RNA". It matches the Rfam family "Bacterial large subunit ribosomal RNA", at positions 1499 to 2528 of the family's 2925-position model. Lineage: Eukaryota; Metazoa; Chordata; Amphibia; Anura; Eleutherodactylidae. The record is from RNAcentral.